UACGUAGGUGGCAAGCGUUGUCCGGAUUUACUGGGCGUAAAGGGCGUGCAGGCGGUCUGUUAAGUCUAGGGUGAAAGCUCCCGGCUCAACUGGGAGAGGUCCUUGGAUACUGGCGGACUUGAGGGAUGCAGAGGAAAGUGGAAUUCCCGGUGUAGUGGUGAUAUGCGUAGAUAUCGGGAGGAACACCAGUGGCGAAGGCGGCUUUCUGGGCAUUACCUGACGCUGAGACGCGAAAGCGUGGGGAGCGAACCGGAUUAGAAACCCCCGUAGUCC
RNAcentral lists this ribosomal RNA (273 nucleotides) under uncultured bacterium. Its description in RNAcentral is "partial 16S ribosomal RNA". It matches the Rfam family "Bacterial small subunit ribosomal RNA", at positions 524 to 796 of the family's 1533-position model. The record is from RNAcentral.